CGGCUGUUAAUUCACAUUUAACGCCUGCAAGGUGACCUAAAUACAGUAGGUCUUCGUUGUACUCGUCACGGCAACG
Molecule: transfer RNA, 76 nt
Filed under: Shewanella putrefaciens
Lineage: Bacteria; Pseudomonadati; Pseudomonadota; Gammaproteobacteria; Alteromonadales; Shewanellaceae
Description: tRNA-Asn
Source: RNAcentral